AGCGAACGCUGGCGGCGUGCCUAACACAUGCAAGUCGAACGUGAAAAGGGGCAACCCUGAGUAAAGUGGCGUACGGGUGAGUAAUACGUAGGUAAUCUACCUGAGUGUCUGGAAUAACCGGCCGAAAGGCUGGCUAAUACUAGAUAGAGCGAUGGGACUCGUAAUGAGUCUUUCGGGAAAGGGAGGCAGCAAUGCCCUUCGCACUCAGAUGAGCCUGCGUCUGAUUAGCUAGUUGGUGGGGUAAAGGCCCACCAAGGCGAUGAUCGGUAGCUGGUCU
This 277-nucleotide ribosomal RNA is filed under the name uncultured bacterium. Its description in RNAcentral is "partial 16S ribosomal RNA". It matches the Rfam family "Bacterial small subunit ribosomal RNA", at positions 29 to 293 of the family's 1533-position model. The record is from RNAcentral.